RNAcentral lists this ribosomal RNA (445 nucleotides) under uncultured bacterium. RNAcentral's name for it is "bacterial SSU rRNA". It matches the Rfam family "Bacterial small subunit ribosomal RNA", at positions 354 to 796 of the family's 1533-position model. The record is from RNAcentral.
GUAAGGAAUAUUGGUCAAUGGACGAAAGUCUGAACCAGCCAUGCCGCGUGGAGGAUGAAGGUCCUCUGGAUUGUAAACUUCUUUUAUAUGGGACGAAAAAAGGCUUUUCUAAGUCGUCUGACGGUACCAUAUGAAUAAGCACCGGCUAACUCCGUGCCAGCAGCCGCGGUAAUACGGAGGGUGCAAGCGUUAUCCGGAUUCACUGGGUUUAAAGGGUGCGUAGGUGGAUUGCCAAGUCCGUGGUGAAAUCUUCGAGCUUAACUCGGAAACUGCCAUGGAUACUGGUGAUCUUGAAUAUCGUGGAGGUUAGCGGAAUAUGUCAUGUAGCGGUGAAAUGCUUAGAUAUGACAUAGAACACCAAUUGCGAAGGCAGCUGGCUACGCGAAUAUUGACACUCAGGCACGAAAGCGUGGGGAUCAAACAGGAUUAGAUACCCGGGUAGUCC